UACAGAUGUCUACAUAAAGUGCUAAAUGUUUUAGUUGUGCAAAGACUAUUUAUCAAGCAGUUAAUGUUCCAUGAAUGUAUUUUCAGAUUUCUGCAAUAUGCUACACUUCAAACUUCCUUCUCCAUUAUAUCAUUCUCUGCUCCAUGAACUGUUUUUAUGAAGCAGCACAAAACCAAUAAAAAGGUUUGUGCAUCAAAACCCAAUAUCUACUGUCCACUACUAUCAAAAGAUUUCUACAAUACGCUACACUUAAAACUUCCUUCUCCAUUAUAUGAUUGUCCGCUCCAUGAUCUGUUUUUAUGAAGCAGCACAAAACUGAUAAGAAGGUAAAUUAAAUUCAUAUAUCUGCAAAACUUGAAGUGACUCCUUUCUUAAAGCAGUCUUUCACCUGUUGAUACAUUUUCAGGUUUGUGCAUCAAAACCCAAUAUCUACUGUCCACUACUAUCAAAAGGUGAGUGUGCAACUAACGUAGACAUCUGUACAAUGUUUUAGUUGUGUAAACACUAUUUAUCAAGCAGUUAAUGUUCCAUGAAUGUAUUUUCAGAUUUCUGCAAUAUGCUACACUUCAGACUUCCUUCUCCAUUAUAUCAUUCUCUGCACCAUGAACUGUUUUUAUGAAGAGGCACACAACUGAUAAAAAGGUACAUUUAAUUGUAUGUCUGCAAAACUUGAAUUGAUUCAUUUCUUGAAACACCAUUUCACCACCUAAUAUAUUUUCAGGUUUGUGCAUUAAAACUCAAGAUCUAUUGUACCUCUAUUAGUUCUAUAUGUUUUUCUGUAAGUGUUUUAUCAAGCAGUUGAUGGUCCAUGAAUGUAUUUUCAGAUUUCUGCAAUACGCUACAUGUGAAACUUCGUCCUUAUCCUUUAUUUGAUUCUCCACUCCAUGAACUGUUUUUAUGAAGCAGCACAAAACCAAUAAAAAGGUAAAUUUAAUUCCUAUAAUAUCUGGA
This is a long non-coding RNA of Cyprinus carpio (common carp), 951 nucleotides long. Lineage: Eukaryota; Metazoa; Chordata; Actinopteri; Cypriniformes; Cyprinidae. The record is from Ensembl.